Molecule: ribosomal RNA, 1380 nt
Filed under: Triticum aestivum (bread wheat)
Lineage: Eukaryota; Viridiplantae; Streptophyta; Magnoliopsida; Poales; Poaceae
Description: partial small subunit ribosomal RNA
Source: RNAcentral
AUGGCGGGUACGACAUGGCGAGCGCUGUUGCUCCUUGGCGUCGUCCUGACGGCGCAGCUGUGCCUGUGCACGGCGUACGUCGGCGGCGGGUUUAGUGUGGAGUUCAUCCACCGGGACUCUCCCAAGUCGCCGCUACACGACCCGUCGCUCACCUCCCACGACCGCGUGCUUGCCGCCGUGCGGCGUUCCGCGGCGCACUCGUACGCCGUCGGCGAUCCUUCCGGCGGCGUGGCCGAGAUCAGGUCCAGUCCGUACGAGUACCUGAUGUACGUCAACAUCGGCACGCCGCGCACCCGGAUGCUCGCCAUCGUCAGCACCGGCAGCAACCUCGUGUCGUUCAAAUGCACCAACGGGACCUCCGGUCCUCCGCCAGCCGCUGGGGCCGCGCCGGUGAGCUACGUGUUCGACACGUCCUCCUCGUCGUCCUACGGCCUCGUGGCCUGCCGGUUGCCCUCGUGCCACGCGGUCCGCGGCACCUCCUGCGACGCCAACUCCAUCUGCCAGUACCACUUCUCCUACGGCGACGGCUCCACGACAGACGGCAUCCUCUCCACCGAGACCUUCACCUUCGACGACGCUCCCGGCGGCUGUGUUGGAUGCCGCGAACGUCCGCAGCUGCAACUGACCAGAGUCAACUUCGGCUGCAUCAAGAACACGAACGGCGGCAACCCGUUCCUCUUGGCCGGCAAUGUCGGCCUGGGCGCCGGGAACAUCUCCCUCAUCAACCAGAUCGGCGCGGCGACAUCGCUCGGCCGGAGGUUCUCGUACUGCCUCGCGCCCUUCUCCGUCAACGCCUCCUCCAUCAUCAACUUCGGCGCCCGCGCCGCCGUGACGGAGCCGGGCGCGGUGACCACGCCGCUGAUCCCCUCGGCCGUGGACGCUUACUACACCAUCCUGCUCACGUCCGUCAAGAUCGGGAACUCGACCAUCGUACCUCCGAAGCGGUCCCCCGUCAUCGUCGACUCCGGUACGCCACUGACGUUCCUCGACAAGGCGCUGCUGGACCCGAUCGUGGGAGAGCUCACGAAGAACAUCAAGCUCCAGCGGAAGCCGUCCCCGGAGAAGCUGCUGGACCUGUGCUACGACGUGGGCGGGACGAUUCAGGACUGGGUGCUGGAGAAGCUGUUCCCGGAAGUGACGCUGGGGUUUGGCGGCGGCGCCGUGAUCACCCUGAAAGCGAAGAACGCGUUCGUACAGCCGCAGCCGGGGACCGCGUGCUUGGCCAUGUCGGCGGCGACGGACAAUGUGGCGGUCAUCGGGAACAUCGCGCAGCAGAACUUCUGGGUCGGCUUCGACCUGGACAAGGGCGCCAUCACCUUCGCCGCUGCCGACUGCGCGAAAUCCUACCCCUCUCCUCCCGCCUCUAAUCAGCUUGAGUAG